AUGGUGUGGUGGAUUCUAGCGGUCUCACUUCUGAAAUUACCAAAGUACAGGUCUGGCAGAACCUGGAACGACAACCAAACCAAGAUAACACCAAUCUACAAACUGACACUCUCUCAAUCAGUUCACAGCUCAGAAGAGAUUUUUCUUUUAUUCUUUUACAUUUUGCAACCCCCUUUGACAUUAUAUUUACUUGAAAUUUGAAUAUCUUGAUGGAUUUGUUUCAUGCAAACACUCAUCUUUUGUCUUCUCCAGAUGUUCACUGAAUAGACUGGAGUGCUGUGGAUUAUUGUGAUGUUUAGAUCAGCUGUUCUCCAAAUCUAAACGCAUCUACAAUGCUAAGGUGUUUAAUGUGGUCAUGUUGCAAUGUGAUUACUAGGCUAUUGCUGUCAUAUAUAAAUAUACGUAGAUGCCUCAUUAGCGACUGUCUAAGCAUAGACAGUAAAAGAAAUGGACACAGCGACCCCAAUGGAACUCAAUUGAGACAAGUGAAGCCCAUUUUUUGCGUUUUUUAGCACUUCCGUUUCUGACGCGCAGACUCAAACGAAGCUUGACGACGUCAGCAACCUGUCUGACAGAUGUAAAUCUUCUAGUAGCUGUGCGUGCAAACUGCCAUCGUUAAUCUUGCAGAGACGGCGAGCUUGAGCGGGGAGUUCUUUGUCGUGAGUGAGCAGGAGUAAGUAUUCUGAUUAAUUAUUGUGUAUAGUAUUUUAAAUUGUAACGCCGGUACGCCAUAUUAAGUUAAUUGCCUGCGAGCUUCUCCUCCUGUCUGUACGGUAAUGCGACAGAUAGUCGAGUGGUUAUGACACAAUCGUUAGCCUAUUUUUUACAAAGACUGUUUAUACGGGGCCAUAAUGUAACAUAGAAGGUAAUGGAGCCCUUUAUACAUUGUCGUGUAUCUUUAGAAAUAAAUAAUGGACAAACGGAGUCUUUAAACGCCUCAGAUGUAAAGUUAUUCGCUGUCAAAGUGACGCCAAAAUGAAUGGGAGUCAAUGGGAUGCUAACGCAAGUGAAGUUCUGCUACAAGAUGGCAGCACGCAGCCGACUUCAACUUCCGGUCGAUUUCCUUGCCGCCUGUGUGUAAGUCGUCCGCCAUAUUGUAACGGUCUUUUUUUUUUUUUUUUUUUUUUUUUAAAAUAGUACAAUAUGUCAUAUAAACUUGAACUUAAAUUUACAUCAAGAACUCGUUUGAGGAAAAAAAUAAAGAUGUGCUCGCAUUUAAAACAGUACAAACUCACAUCAUAUCAAGUAAGAAAAAUAAAAAAUACAAAUACAAAUAAAAAUAAAAUAAAAUAAAAAAUAAUUACAGGGGCUGACAAAACAACAUAAAUGCUUCAAGCGUGUUUAAGAACAUAGGACUGUAAACUCAAAGAUCAAGAGACUCUGACAUUGUUUCAUAUAACUCGUUUAUGGACUGGUUUUCUUCCGAUAACACCUUUAGAGAUGCUAUAUCAUUUUUAA
RNAcentral lists this long non-coding RNA (1458 nucleotides) under Carassius auratus (goldfish). Its description in RNAcentral is "lncRNA (ENSCARG00000017633.1)". Lineage: Eukaryota; Metazoa; Chordata; Actinopteri; Cypriniformes; Cyprinidae. The record is from RNAcentral.